RNAcentral lists this ribosomal RNA (320 nucleotides) under uncultured eukaryote. RNAcentral's name for it is "partial 18S ribosomal RNA". It matches the Rfam family "Eukaryotic small subunit ribosomal RNA", at positions 1470 to 1796 of the family's 1831-position model. The record is from RNAcentral.
CCCUUAGAUGUUCUGGGCUGCACGCGCGCUACACUGACAUACUCAGCAAGUUUCCUUGCCUGAAAGGGUUGGGUAAUCUUGUUAGUGUAUGUCGUGCUGGGGAUAGAAUAUUGUAAUUAUUGCUCUUUAACGAGGAAUUCCUAGUAAGCGCAAGUCAUCAGCUUGCGUUGAUUACGUCCCUGCCCUUUGUACACACCGCCCGUCGCUCCUACCGAUUGGGUGAUCCGGUGAAUGAUUCGGACUCUGGCUAUGCUAGCUACUAGCUACGUCAGGGAAAGUUUUGUGAACCUUAUCACUUGGAGGAAGGAGAAGUCGUAACA